UACAGAGGGGGCAAGCGUUGUUCGGAAUUACUGGGCGUAAAGGGCGCGUAGGCGGCCUGUUAAGUCGAACGUGAAAUCCCCGGGCUCAACCCGGGAACUGCGUCCGAUACUGGCAAGCUUGAAUCCGGGAGAGGGAUGUGGAAUUCCAGGUGUAGCGGUGAAAUGCGUAGAUAUCUGGAGGAACACCGGUGGCGAAGGCGGCAUCCUGGACCGGUAUUGACGCUGAGGCGCGAAAGCCAGGGGAGCAAACGGG
This 253-nucleotide ribosomal RNA is filed under the name uncultured bacterium. RNAcentral's name for it is "partial 16S ribosomal RNA". It matches the Rfam family "Bacterial small subunit ribosomal RNA", at positions 524 to 776 of the family's 1533-position model. The record is from RNAcentral.